This is a long non-coding RNA of Spodoptera frugiperda (fall armyworm), 1829 nucleotides long. RefSeq lists it as uncharacterized. Lineage: Eukaryota; Metazoa; Arthropoda; Insecta; Lepidoptera; Noctuidae. The record is from RefSeq and is a predicted model, not a curated record. The transcript has 4 exons.
AAAAUUUUAUUGCUAUAAUUUUUCUGAAUUUCGGAACGUAUUUAAUAAAUUCUGUUUUAUCUAUGGUAUGGAUAUUUACUUUGCAAUAAUUUUCAUGACAUGAGACUACAUUUUGCUGCAAUUACAAGCGAUUUGAUCUGGUUUUGUUAUAAUAUCGUUUCAAUUUUAUGCGAAUAGGUACUGAGUUUAUAAAAGUAACAUAAUAUUGUCUUGUACUUAUAUAAUUAGUUUUUGUGUAUUUCGGAUUCCGUUUACAUCUAGGUACCUACUAUGUCGGGGUCCUACGAGAAAGCUGGCGUAUCAACGCCACGAAUAUUCAGGCGCCCGUAAAUCGUCAAAACGAGUGAAAAGCGCAUUCAGUUGGAUACAUGUGGACGACAAGAUAGUAAACCUGUAAAUUAUAACUCAAGUUGUGGCCAGCUUCAUUGUAAACAAACUUUAGUUUUCAAGUUCAAGGACAAAUGCGUGUCAGUAACAUGGAUAAAUGCUACUUCAUAUGUUUUAUUUCAGUCAAUGAACCUUUGACUGUUAUAGAAGUUUGUCGAGAUAAUAUAAUGACUUUAUCAGCAAUAUGAUGCCAAAGUUAAUACACUUUUUUAAAGAAUGUAUUCUGCCAGAAAUAGUUUUGAGACAUGUUCAAAAAAUGCGAAAUGUAUACCUAGGUAUGAAAGCAGCUGUGUAGCGGUAGUUUCCAGGCAAUAAUGAGGAAGGAUGAGCGAAAACAACACGACAAAUGUUUUUUUAUUGUACUAUUAUAGUAGUGUGUUUAGAAUCUACAUUAUCAAUGUUUACAGUCAUGUUUUUUUUGAUGUCAGAAAACUGAAAUGGUGUACUCGUCGUAAUGAACAUAAUGUUCAUAAUGUGAUAUGAAUACAUUGACCUAUUUUAAGGUUUCUGAAAAACAAAAAGGAAAGUUGUUGCUUUUUUAUUUCCUUAUGUAGUAUAGUGAUUAUGGAUGCUUAGAUAUUCUCAAACAUUUUUCCGCUUUGAUUGCAAUCUAUUAUUCUGGUUGCCUUGUUUAUGAAUUAUAGUUUUGAAUUAUUAUUUUGAAUGAGAUUAUUUUUUAAUAAUCAGUCACGUAUCAAGCAUUCAUGUCACAUAAAUACUUGUAAUAAUUGCAGGUUAGUAUAUACAUUCUAUUAAAUAAUGUAUAAGAUAAUAAAAUAAAACUGUCUUACAUUGCAUUCUUGACAUUCAUUUUAUUCCCAAACUAUGACCCGCCCCGUUUUCGCACGGGUGCAAAAUUAUCAGUUUCCCUACUAUAAUAUACACGUAUUAUACAUAUAAACCUUCCUCUUGAAUCACUCUAUCGAUUAAAAGAAACAGCAUCAAAAUCCUUAGUGUAGAAAGCAUACAUAUGGAUAUAGGGACAGAGAAAACGACUUUGUUUUAUGCUAUUUAGUACCUAAAUAUAACACUACUUAUACCUUUUAUUUUUAGAACAUAAUAGCAUCAGAUGGUGUUCUUUAGUUCCUAAUCCCCAAGACAUAAUUUCUACAGGUACCAGCCUAUUAACUUUUAAAUGCACGCCAUCUAGUGGAUAAUUUUGAAGAAAGGUUGAUUUUAAAGUAGGCGCUAUGUCUAUGUGUGUAUAAAUGACUGUAAACAGAGUUGGAUAUUAAUAUUUCGCUUUUAUGGCAAAUCGGAUGGGUUUUGAGGCGAUAAUUUGACUAAUUCCGAUAUAGUGGGAUGCCUGAUUUUCGCAUUUCUAUUUCUGUUACUUAAUAUUGUUCCAAUGACACUCAAAACAACAUAAAACUGAAAAUGUUCAAUUCAGCGCCAUCUAUCGGGAAACGAGCCAUGAAGAGCUCGGAACAUUCACCUUAAGG